This 242-nucleotide ribosomal RNA is filed under the name uncultured bacterium. RNAcentral describes it as "partial 16S ribosomal RNA". It matches the Rfam family "Bacterial small subunit ribosomal RNA", at positions 118 to 351 of the family's 1533-position model. The record is from RNAcentral.
UGAGCAAUCUGCCCUUCUCAUCGGAAUAAGCGUUGGAAACGACGUCUAAUGCCGAAUACGACCUCCUUUCGCAUGAUCGGAGGUGGAAAGCUCCGGCGGAGAAGGAUGAGCUCGCGGCCUAUCAGCUAGUUGGUGUGGGUAACGGCCCACAAGGCGACGACGGGUAGCCGGCCUGAGAGGGUGACCGGCCACACUGGGACUGAGACACGGCCCAGACCUCCGUACGGGGAGGNAGGUAGGGG